Molecule: ribosomal RNA, 266 nt
Filed under: uncultured bacterium
Lineage: Bacteria
Description: partial 16S ribosomal RNA
Rfam family: Bacterial small subunit ribosomal RNA
Source: RNAcentral
UGGGUUAGUGGCGGACGGGUGAGUAACGCGUGGAUAACCUGCCGUAUACAGGGGGAUAACACUUAGAAAUAGGUGCUAAUACCGCAUAAGCGCACGGUUCCGCAUGGAACAGUGUGAAAAACUCCGGUGGUAUACGAUGGAUCCGCGUCUGAUUAGCCAGUUGGCGGGGUAACGGCCCACCAAAGCGACGAUCAGUAGCCGGCCUGAGAGGGUGAACGGCCACAUUGGGACUGAGACACGGCCCAAACUCCUACGGAAGGCAGCAG